This 253-nucleotide ribosomal RNA is filed under the name uncultured bacterium. Its description in RNAcentral is "partial 16S ribosomal RNA". It matches the Rfam family "Bacterial small subunit ribosomal RNA", at positions 524 to 776 of the family's 1533-position model. The record is from RNAcentral.
UACGUAGGGGGCUAGCGUUGCUCGGAAUUACUGGGCGUAAAGGGCGCGUAGGCGGACAUUUAAGUCAGGGGUGAAAUCCCAGAGCUCAACUCUGGAACUGCCUUUGAUACUGGGUGUCUUGAGUGUGAGAGAGGUAUGUGGAACUCCGAGUGUAGAGGUGAAAUUCGUAGAUAUUCGGAAGAACACCAGUGGCGAAGGCGACAUACUGGCUCAUUACUGACGCUGAGGCUCGAAAGCGUGGGGAGCAAACAGG